AGAACAGAUAAUGAAAACUGCUUUUAACCACAUUCUUGUACAAGUAAUACCAAGAAAGAAAGACAGGAAGGAAGGUGUUUUUAAAAAUUAAAAAUAAAUAAAAGGAAACUUCUCACUAUCCCCUCUGGAUGGCAGCCUUCCCUUGAGGGCAGUACAACCGUAUUUACUCGAAUACUCGCCCUCGCGUAUACUGUAUCUCGCACCCCAAAUUUUACUUGACGAAAAAAUAAAUUAAAAAGUUUCGCAUAUACAUCGCGCAUAAAAAAAAGUUUAAAACUGUAAUAAAUAGACAGUGUUACAGCAGCAGAUAUUUUGGAAUUCGGUAAAAGAGAAUCACCGUUUCAACAAUCGUCUGCUUGCCUUGUAGUCGCGCGAUCUUUUGUUCGGGACAAGCGGUUCAGAAAAUGUGUGUGUGGUUUUAAACUCAAAGUUAUUGAUUUCGCAGAAAAACAUUUUAUAGAUAAUGUGAGCGAUGAGAAUGAAUACUGAGGAUUUAAUUAUAAACGUCAAUUAAUUUUUUUCUGAAAAAUGGCUUAUAUAUCGCACCCCGAUUUUUUUUUACUUGAAUUUUGGGGCUAGAGUGGGAGUUUCUUCUAGGAAAUACGGUACUUGGCAGACGUUUUUUUCUUGCAAUGGGUGGUUUCCAAAGCCUAGUAAGUCCCCCCCCGACCACUGACGUCCACAUACUAAUCUUUAAAGAAUAAUUGGCUGGAUGGAAUAUGAGCGGGACUGAGAGAAUGUGAAACUAAAAAACGGGGAGGGCUGCUUUUGCACAAGGUCAGGUACUUAUGGAGGAAAGAGUGUAUUUCUGCUACAAUAUUAAAGAUAUAAUUUCAGAAAGCAAGGAAACAAGAAAGAAAGAAAGAUCUUGAUGGAACCAUCUUCAUACUAAGUUAUUCUUCUACUACCAUCAUGGACCCAAGAAAGACACCCAGUGCACCACCAUCUGACUGGAACCAAGACAAUAAUUUGGGACUGGUUUACCCACCUCCUCCUUACCAAGAUCAGCCCCAGUACCCCAACCAAGGGGGGUACUACCCAGCACCACAGUAUCAUGGAGGAGCACCCCAGGGUCCACCCUACCCACAGGGACCCCAGCCAGCUGUUAUUGUCCAGCCUACAGUGUACGUCACCCAAACGCCACUAAUGCAUCCUCUGCCAGAUUACCUGGGAUACUCUAUCUUCACCAUGCUGUGCUGCUGCUUGCCACUGGGAAUUGCAGCCUUGGUCUAUUCAAUUUCGACUCGAACUGCCAACAACCACGGUCAACUGGAGAUGGCGAAGACAAACUCACGCCUUGCCCGCAACCUCAACCAUGCUGGGCUAGGUAUAGGCAUUGUCAUCAUUGUUGCUUGGAUCAUUUUUGCUUACAUGAAAAACUAGAUCCACUAAUUUCUAAGUCUUGCUAUGCCUUUUAUCCAUAAUUAUCUACCAUUAAGCUUCGAAAGAAGUAAAUGUUGACUCUUUUGUUUUUUCUAACAUGUAUUUAUGUACAGUUGGUCCGCAUUGCAAACCUUUUUGUGAAGUAUUUACUAUUUAAUUUUCUUAAAGAGGGCUGUCAUACCAAAGAUUUACCUGAUGUGCCAACAAAGAGAGAUCAUGAGUAACAGCCAUUUCCUUAACAUUUUCAAACUUUUGCUCUAGCUCUGGGUAGAGGUUUGAAGGGUGUCUGUUUUGUAUGAUCCAGGGAAUACAUUUUCUUUUCCUUGGGAAAUUAAUUGUGCAGUAUAAUUUAUGCAAAUGCUAGAUCCUUCUUUGAGUAUUGCAAUUUUUGUCCUUAUGGUAUGUGCAUUGACUCAUAACAUGUUGCUGUUUUAGCUAUGCUGCUGUGACCUAGUGCUGUGACUAUAAUAUUAAAUAAACAGAUAGAUAGGUGAUAAGUGGAUGACA
This 1890-nucleotide long non-coding RNA is filed under the name Scleropages formosus (Asian bonytongue). RNAcentral's name for it is "lncRNA (ENSSFOG00015032908.1)". Lineage: Eukaryota; Metazoa; Chordata; Actinopteri; Osteoglossiformes; Osteoglossidae. The record is from RNAcentral.